This 477-nucleotide ribosomal RNA is filed under the name uncultured bacterium. RNAcentral's name for it is "partial 16S ribosomal RNA". It matches the Rfam family "Bacterial small subunit ribosomal RNA", at positions 28 to 523 of the family's 1533-position model. The record is from RNAcentral.
GACGAACGCUGGCGGCGUGCUUAACACAUGCAAGUCGAACGGUAAGGCCCUUCGGGGUACACGAGUGGCAACGGGUGAGUAACACGUGGGUGAUCUGCCCUGCACUUCGGGAUAAGCCUGGGAAACUGGGUCUAAUACCGGAUAGGACCACUGCCUGCAUGGGUGGUGGUGGAAAGCUUUUGCGGUGUGGGAUGGGCCCGCGGCCUAUCAGCUUGUUGGUGGGGUGAUGGCCUACCAAGGCGACGACGGGUAGCCGGCCUGAGAGGGUGACCGGCCACACUGGGACUGAGAUACGGCCCAGACUCCUACGGGAGGCAGCAGUGGGGAAUAUUGCACAAUGGGCGCAAGCCUGAUGCAGCGACGCCGCGUGAGGGAUGACGGCCUUCGGGUUGUAGACCUCUUUCAGCAUCGACGAAGCGAAAGUGACGGUAGGUGCAGAAGAAGGACCGGCCAACUACGUGCCAGCAGCCGCAGUAA